This 119-nucleotide microRNA precursor is filed under the name Phaeodactylum tricornutum. RNAcentral's name for it is "miR5477 stem-loop (pti-MIR5477)". The record is from miRBase by way of RNAcentral. Lineage: Eukaryota; Bacillariophyta; Bacillariophyceae; Surirellales; Neidiaceae.
CCGGUGAUCCAAAAAUAGAAGACUUUGGAACCCGAGAUAGUGUUCGCAAACAGUCAAUGAACAAUGAAAAAAACUAGUAAUCCUGCUUUUCAUCCACGGUCUUCUACUUUGUAAACCUG